This is a long non-coding RNA of Xiphophorus hellerii (green swordtail), 624 nucleotides long. RefSeq lists it as uncharacterized. NCBI's taxonomy places the organism in Eukaryota, Metazoa, Chordata, Actinopteri, Cyprinodontiformes, Poeciliidae. The transcript has 3 exons. The record is from RefSeq and is a predicted model, not a curated record.
CCCAGGUUGGAUCUUCUGAACCUGGAAUCCUCCACCUUCAACACCACCAGACAGGUGGAGGAAGAUAAGAGAACCCAGUUGACAAAAAAUCUUUUCAUAACAGCAGAGCUUUGAUGAGCUUUGUGUUGAUGGAAGGAGGAUCAGGAAUAGAGCAGAGGACCUGCUGAUCUACUGGUUCUAGUAGAUUUUAUAAAUGCAUGACUGAAACAAGUCAACAGCACUGGACCAAUGAGAAGAGAGAAGACACAGAGGACUGAGGAGACAGAAAAUCCUGCUGGAAAUCCAGAGAAGUUUCCUGAUGCGUCAGGGGGACAGCUGAGGACGGGACACAGAAUAAAGAGACAGAGAUCAUGUGAAGUGGAUCCUGAUCAGCCUGGAAUCCUCCACCUUCAACACUGUCAGUCAGGUGGAGGAAGAUAAGAGAACCCAGUUGACGAAAAAAGUAAGAAUAUUUCUAUCUACAAAACAUAACUAAACAUUUCAGAUGGAACUGCAUAGAGUUGAGCUGAAAGUUACAAACUGGUUCUGUCUGCUGUCCAUGAUUAUUUUCCUCUUUAACUCUGUUGUCUUUUCUCUUUAUUUCAUUUCUCUGUCAACUCAUGUCACAUGACUUGAGUUGACCAA